GCUAGCUGGGGACUGGUAGCAGUUUUGCUAGUUUGAGCCUGCUUAGUAAGAAGCGUCCACCAUUUGUGUGCUCACCUGUGACACAACCAGCCUCACGGGUCACGGCAGGAGUCUCUUCCUGUUUGAGGUGUCAGCUACCCAGAGGGAUGAUGAGAAUACCACGUUGGAUGGUAAAUGAACAAGACAGCAAUAUGUUAUAACAAGGACACAAAAACACUUCAGUACAGCGAAACGGCGCCAGGACGAAAAGGCACGGUCACAGGAGUGAAAUAUGUGUGAGUGAAUUAAACAUUUGUUGUGUUGAUCAUUAAGGUUGAUCAUUAAAAUUCAAACGAAGGUUUGAACUUUUUUGAGAGUGUUUAAACAAGAGAGAAAUGUGAGAACAUGUUAUUGCUUGUUGGAGAAAAGUGUAUAAAGUGUAUGUUGAGGGGUUUUGCAGCCUUAAAACAUAUAUAAAAAUUGUAAAAAAAAAAAAAAAAGAAGGCGUUUCUCUGAGCCGCGUCUAUAUAAUCCAUACUGCUUGCCUGUUGUAAUUCCAUCAAUGAAUUACCAUCAUAUGUUAACUUGUGUUCGCCUCACUGCAAGUUGUGAGGCCGGACUUGACUAUUGAAGGUCGUGCUUCCGGAGCCAAACAAACUUUUGCAUGUCACAGCACGCAACAAUGGUGCAUUCAUGGGCUGCUGACCAAAGUGCGAAAUCUCAAAGCGUGAUGGAAAAACAUUAAAAGUGUAAGCAUAAAAACAUAAACGUGUAAAAAUUGUGGGCUUAUUUAUGCAGUGGUACGCUGUACGUUUGACCUCUAUUAUCACAUAUAAAUUGGUAUGGUGACUGAGAUGCGUUUUCUGUGGAAAAAAAUGAUUUUUUUUUUUAACCAAAGAUAUGCAAAUCUGUGGGGCCGUGAAUGCUGAAUCACAGCGAGGAUCCAGUGUACUUGUUACAGCAAGAUACCACAAUAAAAUCUAAACUAAACUUUGAGUAGCGGAAAGAAGGUAAGUGUUAGAAAAUGAAUGGCAGUAUUGAUGCUUUAUGCUGACAGAGGACAGCCAUGCUGACAUGUUUCUGGCUGCUUUUCGUCAUUAGACAAAGUUAAAGUGCAGGGAUGACGGCCCUAGCGUUAAGUCGAGCCUCUCUUAAAGCACAGGAACAUACUUGGUCGGACUGGCUGGCUCACAUUAAGCGGUUGUGAACAUA
Long non-coding RNA from Dunckerocampus dactyliophorus (ringed pipefish), 1191 nucleotides. RefSeq lists it as uncharacterized. The record is from RefSeq and is a predicted model, not a curated record. The transcript has 3 exons. NCBI's taxonomy places the organism in Eukaryota, Metazoa, Chordata, Actinopteri, Syngnathiformes, Syngnathidae.